CGGAGGCUACCGCUAUUGGAGUUCGAUUAAGCCAUGCGAGUCGCGAGUCUUAGGGACUCGGCGUACCGCUCAGUAACACGUGGGUAACCUGCCCUAUGCUGGGGAAUAACCUCGGGAAACUGAGAAUAAUGCCCCAUAGUUCACCACGCCUGGAACGGUGGGUGGAUGAAAGCUCCGGCGGCAUAGGAUGGGCCUGCGGCGUAUCAGGUCGUAGGGGGUGUAAUGUACCCUCUAGCCAUCGACGCGUACGGGUGUUGGGAGACAUUGCCCGGAGAUGGAUUCUGAGACACGAAUCCAGACCCUACGGGGUGCAGCAGGCGCGAAAACUUGGCAAUGCGAGAAAUCGUGACCAGGGAACUCCAAGUGCAUCGGGUAAGACCGAUGCUUUUCUUGACUCUUCAAAGGUCUUGGAAUAAGGGGUGGGUAAGGACGGUGCCAGCCGCCGCGGUAAUACCGGCGCCUCAAGUGGUAGUCGCUUUUAUUGGGCCUAAAACGUCCGUAGCCGGUUUGGUACAUUCGUGGGUAAAUCAAGGCGCUCAACGUCUUGAAUUCUGCGAGCGCGGCCAGACUUGGGACCGGGUGAGGUGUGGGGUACUCUCAGGGUAGGGGUAAAAUCCUGUCAUCCUGAGAGGACCACCUGUUGCGAAGGCGCCACACUAGAACGGAUCCGACGGUCAGGGACGAAGCCUAGGGGCACGAACCGGAUUAGAUACCCGGGUAGUCCUAGGUGUAAACGCUGUGGACUUGAUGUUGGGAGUGCUCCGAGCACCCUCAGUGUCGAAGCGAAGGUGAUAAGUCCACUGCCUGGGGAGUACGGUCGCAAGGCUGAAACUUAAAGGAAUUGGCGGGG
This 850-nucleotide ribosomal RNA is filed under the name uncultured archaeon. Its description in RNAcentral is "bacterial SSU rRNA". It matches the Rfam family "Archaeal small subunit ribosomal RNA", at positions 18 to 873 of the family's 1478-position model. The record is from RNAcentral.